RNAcentral lists this ribosomal RNA (1369 nucleotides) under uncultured bacterium. RNAcentral describes it as "bacterial SSU rRNA". It matches the Rfam family "Bacterial small subunit ribosomal RNA", at positions 28 to 1381 of the family's 1533-position model. The record is from RNAcentral.
GAUGAACGCUGGCGGCGUGCCUAAUACAUGCAAGUCGAGCGAACGGACGAGAAGCUUGCUUCUCUGAUGUUAGCGGCGGACGGGUGAGUAACACGUGGAUAACCUACCUAUAAGACUGGGAUAGCUUCGGGAAACCGGAGCUAAUACCGGAUAAUAUUUUGAACCGCAUGGUUCAAAAGUGAAAGACGGUCUUGCUGUCACUUAUAGAUGGAUCCGCGCUGCAUUAGCUAGUUGGUAAGGUAACGGCUUACCAAGGCAACGAUGCAUAGCCGACCUGAGAGGGUGAUCGGCCACACUGGAACUGAGACACGGUCCAGACUCCUACGGGAGGCAGCAGUAGGGAAUCUUCCGCAAUGGGCGAAAGCCUGACGGAGCAACGCCGCGUGAGUGAUGAAGGUCUUCGGAUCGUAAAACUCUGUUAUUAGGGAAGAACAUAUGUGUAAGUAACUGUGCACAUCUUGACGGUACCUAAUCAGAAAGCCACGGCUAACUACGUGCCAGCAGCCGCGGUAAUACGUAGGUGGCAAGCGUUAUCCGGAAUUAUGGGCGUAAGCGCGCGUAGGCGGUUUUUUAGUCUGAUGUGAAAGCCCACGGCUCAACCGUGGAGGGUCAUUGGAAACUGGAAAACUUGAGUGCAGAAGAGGAAAGUGGAAUUCCAUGUGUAGCGGUGAAAUGCGCAGAGAUAUGGAGGAACGCCAGUGGCGAAGGCGACUUUCUGGUCUGUAACUGACGCUGAUGUGCGAAAGCGUGGGGACCAAACAGGAUUAGAUACCCUGGUAGUCCACGCCGUAAACGAUGAGUGCUAAGUGUUAGGGGGUUUCCGCCCCUUAGUGCUGCAGCUAACGCAUUAAGCACUCCGCCUGGGGAGUACGACCGCAAGGUUGAAACCCAAAGGAAUUGACGGGGACCCGCACAAGCGGUGGAGCAUGUGGUUUAAUUCGAAGCAACGCGAAGAACCUUACCAAAUCUUGACAUCCUUUGACAACUCUAGAGAUAGAGCCUUCCCCUUCGGGGGACAAAGUGACAGGUGGUGCAUGGUUGUCGUCAGCUCGUGUCGUGAGAUGUUGGGUUAAGUCCCGCAACGAGCGCAACCCUUAAGCUUAGUUGCCAUCAUUAAGUUGGGCACUCUAAGUUGACUGCCGGUGACAAACCGGAGGAAGGUGGGGAUGACGUCAAAUCAUCAUGCCCCUUAUGAUUUGGGCUACACACGUGCUACAAUGGACAAUACAAAGGGCAGCGAAACCGCGAGGUCAAGCAAAUCCCAUAAAGUUGUUCUCAGUUCGGAUUGUAGUCUGCAACUCGACUACAUGAAGCUGGAAUCGCUAGUAAUCGUAGAUCAGCAUGCUACGGUGAAUACGUUCCCGGGUCU